UACGGGGGGGGCAAGCGUUGUUCGGAAUUACUGGGCGUAAGGGGCGCGUAGGCGGCCUUCUAAGUCGAACGUGAAAUCCCCGGGCUCAACCCGGGAACUGCGUCCGAUACUGGCAGGCUUGAAUCCGGGAGAGGGAUGUGGAAUUCCAGGUGUAGCGGUGAAAUGCGUAGAUAUCUGGAGGAACACCGGUGGCGAAGGCGGCAUCCUGGACCGGUAUUGACGCUGAGGCGCGAAAGCCAGGGGAGCAAACGGG
This 253-nucleotide ribosomal RNA is filed under the name uncultured bacterium. RNAcentral's name for it is "partial 16S ribosomal RNA". It matches the Rfam family "Bacterial small subunit ribosomal RNA", at positions 524 to 776 of the family's 1533-position model. The record is from RNAcentral.